GUUAUGUGAGCUGGACAUACGAAACUGCUCCGAGGAUAUGAUAGCCCCAUUCAACUCCCAGUACCAGAGGAGAAACGUUGGAAUGGGCGCUUAAACUCCAGAUCCGUCCACAGAGACACAGAGUCUAUCGAAAUAACCCAGUUAACCCCAAGGAGAUACAGUGCUACACUGGCUUUGCAGACUAAUAGAAUAUGGUGUACAUGUUAAUGCAUUUUAAGUAAUAAAUGAAUUGAGAUUUG
Penaeus monodon (black tiger shrimp) is the source of this 239-nucleotide long non-coding RNA. RefSeq lists it as uncharacterized. Lineage: Eukaryota; Metazoa; Arthropoda; Malacostraca; Decapoda; Penaeidae. The record is from RefSeq and is a predicted model, not a curated record. The transcript is spliced from 4 exons.